Molecule: long non-coding RNA, 822 nt
Organism: Leucoraja erinaceus (little skate)
Lineage: Eukaryota; Metazoa; Chordata; Chondrichthyes; Rajiformes; Rajidae
Exons: 3
Source: RefSeq, a predicted model, not a curated record
UGUCUUUGUCACAGGUGCAUCUUCAUUGCUGGGAAAUACAGUAGAUCAAAUAGAACAAGUUGACCUGCAACUUUAGGCUGUGCACACCAUAAGCGAGAAUAAGUAGUUAUUUAAAUAUGCUUUGCCUAAAAUAUUUGUUCGUAUCAGAUAGUCAAAUCAAGUCAGAGUCAGUGUAAAAAAGAUUGAAGAUUCUUCAAGAUAAAGGUAUGUUAUUCAGGAACAAACAUUUAGAAGAUCUUAAAUCAAGAAAGACAGUGGAGCUUGGGAAAUCUCUGAAUGAUUACAACAAAUGCAUGUGGCUUGGUUUUUCCAAAACAUUUUUCUCAUUAAAAUUAUUGAUCUGGUAUAGGAUUGGAGUCCCCACUUACUUGGAUGGGGAUACCCAACCUAGAGACGAGGAGGGAAAAGGGAUGCAAGACAUCAUGUCUAACAACUGCUCCAAAUGAAAUCAACAACCUCACCAGAGAUCUGUAUAUUGCAGUGGACCAGGCCAUCUGAAUUAUUCACAGAAAAGUUUGGCAUUCUGUGCUCCAGCAUCUUCUAUGGUCCAGCAUGUUUUGAAGCUGAAGUACAUAUCUGUAAUAACUACAAUCUGGACUAAGAUGUAGCUAAUUCACCUACCAGUACAACUUAUGCGAUUGGAGCUGACAGUGUUCCCAAUUUACAGAAGCUUUGACAGUUCUCAGGCCAUUACAUAACCCGGGGAAUGUCUGUACUUAAAAAGUACAAUUUUCCUGUCUGCUUCGAGGAACAUGACGAGGGGCAUUUUUUGUUGUUCAGCACUGGCCAGGUCCCGAGGUUACCAGAGUUUCAACUUGCAAU